Molecule: transfer RNA, 68 nt
Filed under: Dendrocerus sp. ZJUH_2016009
Lineage: Eukaryota; Metazoa; Arthropoda; Insecta; Hymenoptera; Megaspilidae
Description: tRNA-Leu
Source: RNAcentral
AUUAUUUUGUCAGAUAAAUGAGGUAAAAUUAGAAUUUAUUUAUACAUAAAUUAAUUAUGUAAGUAAUA